AACGCUAGCUACAGGCUUAACACAUGCAAGUCGAGGGGCAGCAUGGUCUUAGCUUGCUAAGGCCGAUGGCGACCGGCGCACGGGUGAGUAACACGUAUCCAACCUGCCGUCUACUCUUGGACAGCCUUCUGAAAGGAAGAUUAAUACAAGAUGGCAUCAUGAGUCCGCAUGUUCACAUGAUUAAAGGUAUUCCGGUAGACGAUGGGGAUGCGUUCCAUUAGAUAGUAGGCGGGGUAACGGCCCACCUAGUCUUCGAUGGAUAGGGGUUCUGAGAGGAAGGUCCCCCACAUUGGAACUGAGACACGGUCCAAACUCCUACGGGAGGCAGCAGUGAGGAAUAUUGGUCAAUGGGCGAGAGCCUGAACCAGCCAAGUAGCGUGAAGGAUGACUGCCCUAUGGGUUGUAAACUUCUUUUAUAAAGGAAUAAAGUCGGGUAUGGAUACCCGUUUGCAUGUACUUUAUGAAUAAGGAUCGGCUAACUCCGUGCCAGCAGCCGCGGUAAUACGGAGGAUCCGAGCGUUAUCCGGAUUUAUUGGGUUUAAAGGGAGCGUAGAUGGAUGUUUAAGUCAGUUGUGAAAGUUUGCGGCUCAACCGUAAAAUUGCAGUUGAUACUGGAUAUCUUGAGUACAGUUGAGGCAGGCGGAAUUCGUGGUGUAGCGGUGAAAUGCUUAGAUAUCACGAAGAACUCCGAUUG
RNAcentral lists this ribosomal RNA (694 nucleotides) under uncultured bacterium. RNAcentral describes it as "bacterial SSU rRNA". It matches the Rfam family "Bacterial small subunit ribosomal RNA", at positions 32 to 715 of the family's 1533-position model. The record is from RNAcentral.